Lagopus muta (rock ptarmigan) is the source of this 3181-nucleotide long non-coding RNA. RefSeq lists it as uncharacterized. The record is from RefSeq and is a predicted model, not a curated record. Lineage: Eukaryota; Metazoa; Chordata; Aves; Galliformes; Phasianidae. The transcript is spliced from 4 exons.
AGGAGAGGGCGGCUCCGAGGAGAGGAGACCCCGCCCGGCGUUACCGAGGCGGCCGCCGACCUCUGUCCUGGCGAGAGGCGAUGCUUGCUCCAGGAGAAGCCCGGCUCCGGCAAGCAUGAUAGCGGGGGACACUGUCAUCGUACCUGGAACGCUGGAAGAACCCACACUGGGGGGAGGAGAAAAAGAAGAGUUUAGACUGAAGUUGCUGUGGAAGUACUACAAUUACAGAGGCAACACAUUCUUCAUAAGGGGUUUCUAAGAUAAGGAGCCCAUCCAAAAGAAACUGAACACACAGGAACGGGAGUCAGAUACUGACAACUGUGCAACAGUCUCCAAUAUUUGUAAACCUGAACACAAAACCUAUCAGCUGUAUUUCUGCCAAAGGUAACAUAGACUAACUCAAACGUAGCACAGGAGAAGGACAAACUUUCUGCUGUUUUAUUCCACCUACAGCAGCCUGCUCUAGUGGGGCUUGGAGCUGGACAGUCUUUACGGCCUCUUCCAACCCAGACCAUUCUGUGAUUCUGUGACUCAAUUCCACUUUCUUGCCCCUUAUGUAACGUAAGCAGCAAAAUUAUCUCCUUGUUUCUUUUAGGCAUUGUAUAAGUACAAUAUAUCUCUUUUAAAAUCUUGCCCUUACUACUGGAGGGGAACUUCAAGUUCUCCCUCCUCCUUCCCAACUUCACUUGAUCCUGACUUUUCCCACAGGACGUCCAUCUUGAUGACAUGAAACGGUUUUACUAUCACAAAGUAAUGGAGCAUGUUGAAUCGGUUAUCCAAGAACAGCUUUCACAGACAAAAACAGGAACACAUCCAAACAAAAAUCCUCAGGAUUUCUGACAGCAAGGACAUGGUAAGAAAACAAGGACACUUGAUAGCAAGCCAAUUUUUUUUUUUUUUUUUUUUGCAUUGAUAGAAGCUCUAAAAGAUGAGCAUUGUUAAGGUCUUUAAAUCCUGAAAAUGCAAACACACACUGCUAUGAAUUCAGCCCACCUCAACUUUGAAUUAUUUAGUAACAGCUCUGCAAGCAGAAAUUUAUAGUUUCCAAUGCAGAUGAUCACAGUCCAGUCUUCCUCUGUUGCUAGAGCAGUGAGCACAGGCCCUCUGACAACGCAGAAAUACUGGCUAAAUGCCACUGAGGAUGCACUACAGCAGCAGUACAGCAAUGUCAGCAGCCUGCUGACCAAAGGCAACUCUGUUUUAUAUUGAUAGAAUGGCUCACAGCAGAGAUAUGCAGUAUCAGCAGAACCUGUCACAAGUAAAAAUUCCAGUAAGCAAUCUUUUAGGCUUUACAGUUCCGAAUGGGCAGCACAGACUUGGCACAAAACGCCUACCCACUGCUCUUCUUCUGAAGAGGAGAUCCUGAAUGUUGCCAUAGUCUCAUCCUUUUUUUUUUGCCUUAAGCAAUAAGAAGCCUACAUAAAUUCAGCUUCAUUUCUGUGUUAAAAGUAAUACCAGAAUUGACUGCAAAUUAUAAGCAAAUGUAGAUGUUCUUAGGACUUGUGUUCUAAUUCAAGAGAUCAGCUUAAACCAUUCUGAAAAGGACCAUCUCACAUGUUGUGUGCACAUGUAUAUCUCAUCAUAUAAAAUAUCAGUGUGUAUACAUACGUUAUAUAUAAAACUAUGAGCAAACUAAUACUAAGCAGCUAGUAACAUUUCUAAUAACAGCAUACAGCAUGAAGUAGCUAACAUACCACCUACAUACAGCUACAGACCCCUGCAUUCUCCAUCGCAAACUAACAAAACUUUAACUCCAAUAGCUGCGCAGCCACAAGUCACGGCUGUUGUACCUCCACCACCUCUCAGAAGCACAGCUCCCAUACCUUUGUCACACUGACAGAUGAAGAGCAGACCAACCUCACGCAGGGCAAGCAGCCCAGCUCCCUGAGAAUUCCAUUAAGGUUUUCUGCUCCUGAUUCAUUGUGCUUGACGAUGGACCAGGACUGCACACAGAAAUCCAGGCAGGCAGCCCUCAGUCCAUCUAACAGUAACAGUAAUGCUUCCCUAACGCAUAUUAAGACUGCAUUCAGCUCUUUCACACCCACAAGCCUUUAGCAGUCCACUUUCAGUUAUUGUGAAUAGUUUUUCUCCUCUUCAUCUCUCAAACUUCUCUCACUUGAAAAUACUCACAUAGAAUAACAGAAAGUUGUUACCAGCCCCCAGCCUUCUAUAAAGUACCCUUUACAAAUAAAUUUGAUGCAUUUCUUGAACAGUCACCUACCUGUGCCAUUAGGAGUUAAGUAAUUACCAAUUAGCAAACACAGCAUUAGUAUCUAACAUUGACAAACAAAGUAGUUGCCAUUCAAAGGUAAUAUGUAAGCUGCAAUCUUCCGUAACUAGGAAAAAAGUGACCAAAGGCAAACACCAUGUUUAAAAGCAGGUUACUUCAGCUGUACCUUCACGUGUCACACUUAAAGACAUUUCCCACUCCCCUUCUUACCAAGGCAUUUCAUAAUGCUUAACAUGGAAAUUAUCUAGCCAAGGCAGAAGAGAAAGCAAAUCAUUUAAGAAUCACUUAAAGUGAGCUGAGAGGAAAAACCAAGGAUCUGUAGCUUGUUUUACAGACUAAAACAUCUCUUCCACAGAACUCGCAUAUCUCACCAUUUCUCAUUUGUUUUCUCAAGGACUUAAUGAUCUUGCAUACAACAGUUGUAACUGCAUUAUAACAUCAUAAAGCUGUGUGGAGUGGCAGGGGUUGGUGGAGGAUUUGGGGGUAAAGGUUCUCUUUGAGAUAAGAAUCCAAGCAUCAAGUUCCACUGGUGACAUAGGGUUUGUGUAUUUUGGUAACAACUGACUAACCAUAACUGAGUUUUAAAGGUAGCACCUAACGAAGAAGAUGGGAUGAAACAAUUACUUCUAUCUGUCACAAGAGAGAACUUGAUAUAAAAGCGCUUCUGCAGCAGAGCUAGGACACACCAACACACAGCUGGGAAUGGAGGCACUGCACCCUGCAGACCAACAUGAAGCUCCUGCUGCUGUGAGUGAUGAGCAGCAUGCAGGAACCAGACAUGUCUCCCAGUACCAGACCUCAAUGCAAUCUCCAUUCCUUCACCUCUCACUUUCUCUAGUUACCUGGACAGCAGACAAUCUGCUCCACCUACAAACAGCCAAACUAUCUACAAACUGACAUCCACUGAACGUGCCAGAAUGAGUUGUUUAAUAUUGAUGUUGCUCAUUUUUA